UCCCACUCAUCGUGGGCAGUUUCUCCAGAGUGCCCCCUUUCGGGAUGGCAACAGGAGAUGGGGGUUGCGCUCGUUGCGGGACUUAACCCAACAUUUCACAACACGAGCUGACGACAGCCAUGCACCACCUGUGUAGCACCCUCGAAGGCGACUCCGUUUCGGGAGCUUGCAGCUACAUGUCAAGCCCUGGUAAGGUUCUUCGCGUUGCAUCGAAUUAAGCCACAUGCUCCACCGCUUGUGCGGGCCCCCGCCAAUUCCUUUGAGUUUCAACCUUGCGGCCGUAGUCCCCAGGCGGUUCACUUAAUGCGUUAGCUGCGGCACCGAGGGGAACCCCCGACACCUAGUGAACAUAGUUUAGGGCCAAGACUAC
This 370-nucleotide unclassified non-coding RNA is filed under the name uncultured bacterium. Its description in RNAcentral is "contains 16S-23S intergenic spacer region". The record is from RNAcentral.